RNAcentral lists this long non-coding RNA (289 nucleotides) under Gossypium barbadense (sea-island cotton). RNAcentral describes it as "long non-coding RNA (GBAR_LNC021800)". The record is from RNAcentral. Lineage: Eukaryota; Viridiplantae; Streptophyta; Magnoliopsida; Malvales; Malvaceae.
CACUCAUAUAAACCUAAAAUAAAUGGGAAGUCACGUGUUAGUCUUUAAUACUUUUAUCACGUAAUAAUUUAAUCGAAAAAUUAAUUAUAUUAGCUAUUUGGACUAAUUAAUAACAUUAUAAAAAUUUAGGUGUCAAAUUAUUUUAAAAAUUAAAGUAUUUAAAAAUUUCAAAUUUAAACAUAUUAGAGAGACCAAAGGUGAAAUUUAACCAUUUGUGUAAAGGCAGCAUGGUGAGAGAGCCACAUGUCAGCCCAAGGUUUUUUAUAUAUAGGUAUAUAAUAUUAGAGGG